Molecule: ribosomal RNA, 735 nt
Filed under: uncultured bacterium
Lineage: Bacteria
Description: bacterial SSU rRNA
Rfam family: Bacterial small subunit ribosomal RNA
Source: RNAcentral
AACAGGAUUAGAUACCCUGGUAGUCCAUGCCGUAAACGUUGGGCACUAGGUGUGGGGCGGGUUCCACUCGUUCUGUGCCGUAGCUAACGCAUUAAGUGCCCCGCCUGGGGAGUACGGCCGCAAGGCUAAAACUCAAAGGAAUUGACGGGGGCCCGCACAAGCGGCGGAGCAUGCGGAUUAAUUCGAUGCAACGCGAAGAACCUUACCAAGGCUUGACAUGUACGAGAACGCGUUAGAGAUAACGAACUCUUUGGACACUCGUACACAGGUGGUGCAUGGUUGUCGUCAGCUCGUGUCGUGAGAUGUUGGGUUAAGUCCCGCAACGAGCGCAACCCUUAUCCUAUGUUGCCAGCGGGUUAUGCCGGGGACUCAUGGGAGACUGCCGGGGUCAACUCGGAGGAAGGUGGGGAUGACGUCAAAUCAUCAUGCCCCUUAUGUCUUGGGCUUCACGCAUGCUACAAUGGCCGGUACAGGGGGCUGCGAUACCGUGAGGUGGAGCGAAUCCCAAAAAGCCGGUCUCAGUUCGGAUCGGGGUCUGCAACUCGACCCCGUGAAGUCGGAGUCGCUAGUAAUCGCAGAUCAGCAACGCUGCGGUGAAUACGUUCCCGGGCCUUGUACACACCGCCCGUCAAGUCACGAAAGUUGGUAACACCCGAAGCUCACGGCCCAACCCGUAAGGGAGGGAGUGGUCGAAGGUGGGACUGGCGAUUGGGACUAAGUCGUAACAAGGUAACC